CUUGUAACUCAGAUUCUAUGUUACCUGUCCUCGGUCCACUUGGAAUCUCUUGAGAGAGCCGAGUCCUGUGUGUUCCUAGGCCCUGCCACAGGGACCUGGACACCCUGCCUGUUGAGGCAAGGUUGUGGAUGUCCCGGGCCUUAUGGUCCCUGCUUCCCAUGAUGUGUGGCAGCAUCCAUCUGAACGCUCAUCACUACCAAGGCCAAGGUUUUGGAAGGAAGUUCUUCUUCUCCCAUCUUAGUAUUAGACCAUCAGAUUUGGGACACGGGACUAAGGCCGCUGACUCUGCAUCCCUUACAAGCAUACACAGCUGCCUGCCCUUUUGCCUUGUGUCCAUCCUGGAGCGGCCUUCUGCAAGAUUCUAUGUUACCUGUCCUCGGUCCACUUGGAAUCUCUUGAGAGAGCCGAGUCCUGUGUGUUCCUAGGCCCUGCCACAGGGACCUGGACACCCUGCCUGUUGAGGCAAGGUUGUGGAUGUCCCGGGCCUUAUGGUCCCUGCUUCCCAUGAUGUGGGGCAGCAUCCCUCUGAACGCUCAACACUACCAAGGCCAAGGUUUUGGAAGGAAGUCCUUCUUCUCCCAUCUUACUAUUAGACCAUCGGAUUUGGGACA
Peromyscus eremicus (cactus mouse) is the source of this 611-nucleotide long non-coding RNA. RefSeq lists it as uncharacterized. The record is from RefSeq and is a predicted model, not a curated record. The transcript has 4 exons. Lineage: Eukaryota; Metazoa; Chordata; Mammalia; Rodentia; Cricetidae.